CUGCUGCCUCCCGUAGGAGUCUGGGCCGUGUCUCAGUCCCAAUGGUGGCCGUUCAACCUCUCAGUCCGGCUACCGAUUGUCGGUUUGGUGGGCCGUUACCCCGCCAACUGCCUAAUCGGACGCGAGCCCAUCUUUCAGCGGGAUUCGCUCCUUUGAUAUCAGUGCCAUGCGACUCCGAUAUUUUAUGCGGUAUUAGCGUUCGUUUCCAAACGUUAUCCCCCUNUGAAAGGCAGGUUGCUCACGUGUUACUCACCCGUCCG
This 260-nucleotide ribosomal RNA is filed under the name uncultured bacterium. RNAcentral describes it as "partial 16S ribosomal RNA". The record is from RNAcentral.